UUGAAAUUCUCUCCCACCAAAAAAUUUAUCCGCAUCUUCUCACAGAGAACCCACAAAUCAGAAAUUUUUUGGUUCAACCAAGACUCGACCAAACCCUCUAUCAGCAAAACCAGCGUUUCCGCGAUGUUUCUGCCGUCUGAGGCCCCUUUUUUUCACCGCGAAACCUACCCUUCUUGAUCGCUACAUGUCCGUGGUCGUCAUAGUCACGGCGGGCAUCAGGCGGACAGACGGGUGCAACGAUUCUUCCGUGAUUGCAGCAUCCAAUUCCCUCGGGAGCGAGGAAUUCUUCCGUGAUUGCCGCGUCGAGUUCCUCUUUUAGGUUUGCUACGGCGGACACGGAGCUUCGGCCUCAUCGUCGACGACCCUCCUCCUCGCCCUCUGACGGAAAAAACGGAACCCCGGUCGACUUCCUGCUUUGCUGCCUUUCCUCAAUCGACAUGGCGGACAGGCGGGUUCUGGUGAUGAUGGAUAAUUGACAUCCAUUAUCUGAUUUGAUGGUCUUUGAGACGCCUUCUAGCUUUGCAAUUUUCAGUUUUGAUGGAGUCAAGCUCUAUCGGCAUCAGCCAGAUGCCAUCCGGGCGAUUUAGGCUCAUCUCCACCGAGACAAUCAAAAUCUGACUAAGAGGACGAUUGACGCUAGGGUGCGUGGAUUGAUGGCCCGCCCGCUUCGGCAACGACACGGCACAAGGCCUCCCAUUGAGCGCCAUCCUCAUCAUGUCGAGCUAUUGGGAGACGACCACACCGGCGGACAUCCUCUUCCCCAAGUUCAUGUACCACGUCCGCUCUCCAGCAUUUUCAACCAUUUUCAAGAACCACGAAGUCUGCAAUUAGUACACCAUCCAGGUGAAUUCGUCAGUGGUUUAUACUUACAAAUGAUUGACAUUUCCUGCAAUUGGCCUCCUAAUAUUGCUACCUUUGUGCAGUAUUUGUAUCAAACAAAGACGGUAUUUAUACCUGUUUGCUUAUCAGCCUUUAAAUUUUAGAUAAAUACUUGAUAAUUGAUUUUUGGCAAGCAAUGCAUGACUGAUUCCAAGGAUUAUCUCAACCCAUAAGAAAACUCCAAAUCAUAUUUUAAAAAUGGCCAGAUGGAAUAUGAUGAGCUUGGCUGUCUGAAGAUGCUCUUAUCUUCUGAAACCUUCAGUGAUUGGCUCUCAUCUGUUAACUUUGUGGCAUUGUUUGAUGGAUAUCAUUCACCGGUUUUGGUUUAUGGAUGUAAUACUACUAGGACGAUAGGCGCGCUUCGCCGCGCCUGCCCGUGCUGUACGCGUAGAUGUGUGCCAAUACUUUUGACGGGAGUGUUUACACUGUUGUUUCAUUUGUUGUUUGCUUCACCUAUUUGGUGUUUUACAGAGGAUCAUUUUAUAAUUCAAUAAAUUUUGAUUGAACGGUCA
Molecule: long non-coding RNA, 1391 nt
Organism: Panicum virgatum (switchgrass)
Lineage: Eukaryota; Viridiplantae; Streptophyta; Magnoliopsida; Poales; Poaceae
Exons: 5
Source: RefSeq, a predicted model, not a curated record